Molecule: ribosomal RNA, 472 nt
Filed under: uncultured Methanosaeta sp.
Lineage: Archaea; Methanobacteriati; Methanobacteriota; Methanomicrobia; Methanotrichales; Methanotrichaceae
Description: bacterial SSU rRNA
Rfam family: Archaeal small subunit ribosomal RNA
Source: RNAcentral
AUUCUGGUUGAUCCCGCCGGAGGUUACUGCUAUCGAGAUUCGACUAAGCCAUGCGAGUCGAAUGUUCUUCGUGAACAUGGCGGACUGCUCAGUAACACGUGGACAACCUACCCUUGGGUCUGGCAUAAUCCUGGGAAACUGGGUAUAAUUCCAGAUAGGUCACAGAUGCUGGAAUGCACUGUGGCCGAAAGCUCCGGCGCCCAAGGAUGGGUCUGCGGCCUAUCAGGGUUGUAGUGGGUGUAACGGACCUACUAGCCUACGACGGGUACGGGUUGUGAGAGCAAGAGCCCGGAGAUGGAUUCUGAGACACGAAUCCAGGCCCUACGGGGUGCAGCAGGCGCGAAAACUUUACAAUGCGGGAAACCGUGAUAAGGGAAUCUCGAGUGCCAGCAUAUAAUGUUGGCUGUCCAGAUGCCUAAAAAGCAUCUGUUAGCAAGGGCCGGGCAAGACCGGUGCCAGCAGCCGCGGUAAA